Molecule: ribosomal RNA, 159 nt
Filed under: Trametes elegans
Lineage: Eukaryota; Fungi; Basidiomycota; Agaricomycetes; Polyporales; Polyporaceae
Description: 5.8S ribosomal RNA
Rfam family: 5.8S ribosomal RNA
About the family: 5.8S ribosomal RNA (5.8S rRNA) is a component of the large subunit of the eukaryotic ribosome. It is transcribed by RNA polymerase I as part of the 45S precursor that also contains 18S and 28S rRNA. Functionally, it is thought that 5.8S rRNA may be involved in ribosome translocation.
Source: RNAcentral
CAACUUUCAGCAACGGAUCUCUUGGCUCUCGCAUCGAUGAAGAACGCAGCGAAAUGCGAUAAGUAAUGUGAAUUGCAGAAUUCAGUGAAUCAUCGAAUCUUUGAACGCACCUUGCGCUCCUUGGUAUUCCGAGGAGCAUGCCUGUUUGAGUGUCAUGGU